UUCGCAAUGCCCGAAAGGGUGACGAAGCGACGCCGCGUGGGUGAGGAAGGCCCUCGGGUUGUAAAGCCCUGUCAGGAGUUAAGAAAUGUAGGUACGCUAAUAUCGUAUCUAUUUGACAAAGGCUCCAAAGGAAGCCACGGCUAACUCUGUGCCAGCAGCCGCGGUAAUACAGAGGUGGCAAGCGUUGUUCGGAAUUAUUGGGCGUAAAGAGCACGUAGGUGGAUUUGUAAGUCAGAUGUGAAAGCCUUCUGUUCAACGGGAGAAUUGCAUCUGAAGCUACAGACCUUGAGUGUAGGAGGGGAGAAUGGAACUUCUGGUGGAGCGGUGAAAUGCGUAGAUAUCAGAAGGAACGUCGGCGGCGAAAGCGACUCUCUGGCCUAUUACUGACACUGAGUGUGCGAAAGUUAGGGGAGCAAACGGGAUUAGAUACCCCGGUAGUCCUAACCGUAAACGAUGGGCACUAAGUAGAGGGGUUUU
Molecule: ribosomal RNA, 477 nt
Filed under: Candidatus Scalindua brodae
Lineage: Bacteria; Pseudomonadati; Planctomycetota; Candidatus Brocadiia; Candidatus Brocadiales; Candidatus Scalinduaceae
Description: bacterial SSU rRNA
Rfam family: Bacterial small subunit ribosomal RNA
Source: RNAcentral